UACGGGGGGAGCAAGCGUUGUUCGGAUUUACUGGGCGUAAAGGGCGCGUAGGCGGUCAGCACAAGUCAGUUGUGAAAUCUCCGGGCUUAACUCGGAAAGGUCAACUGAUACCGUGCGACUAGAGUGCGGAAGGGGCAACUGGAAUUCUCGGUGUAGCGGUGAAAUGCGUAGAUAUCGAGAGGAACACCUGCGGCGAAGGCGACUACCUGGCCUGUUCUUGACGCUGAGGCGCGAAAGCUAGGGGAGCAAACGGG
This 254-nucleotide ribosomal RNA is filed under the name uncultured bacterium. Its description in RNAcentral is "partial 16S ribosomal RNA". It matches the Rfam family "Bacterial small subunit ribosomal RNA", at positions 524 to 776 of the family's 1533-position model. The record is from RNAcentral.